This is a long non-coding RNA of Amphiprion ocellaris (clown anemonefish), 7009 nucleotides long. RefSeq lists it as uncharacterized. The record is from RefSeq and is a predicted model, not a curated record. The transcript is spliced from 4 exons. Lineage: Eukaryota; Metazoa; Chordata; Actinopteri; Pomacentridae.
AAAAACUCAAUAUAACUGGCAUCUGCAACCAAUACACGGUUGCCAGCUGCCUUACCAUGUCGCUAUUUUUAAAAAAAUCACCACUAGUGUGAAUAAAGAAGAGCGUAAUAAGUCAGGGAGUCAGUGAGAUGCUCCUUUCAGCUGCUAACCAGAGACAAAGCCAUGCUAACGGCUGGACACACCUUUUUCUACCGGCUGCUAGCUACCGCUAACCUAGCGUUAGCAACCUGCUAACGGUGCUGCCAUAGGCCUGCUGUACAACCACCUGGACGUUGUCCAAGAUGAAGUCAAAAGCCAUGCUCCACACAGACUCCACCGACUGCUGCAUGAUUCUGCAGGAAAAAAUCAACAGAGGACAUGGGGGAGAGGAGGAUGUUAGCCAGGCUGUCAUCAGUCUUGGAGAAACACCUUUCAUCCCCUGUUUGAAACUGGGAGAUUUAAGCAGUUCCUUCAGCAACACACUGCAACACCCACAGGAUACCCUAGAAGAUGUGUUUGAUGCUAUCUUUGGGGGCACUUGAAGGCCAUGGUGUAUCAGGUGAAGAUACGAGACAUAAAUCAUCUCCAGGAACGUAUCACCAACGCCAUUACAAGCAGAACUUCAACUGUGCUGAUACAAGUUCAUCACCAGUGGAGAACAUGUAUUAAUAUGUGUUUUGGAAACAAUUGUUGUAACUGUCCAAAAGACUGUAAUUUUGAAUUUCUCAUUUCAAGUUGGUUGUUGUUUUUUUUGUGGUUAUUUUAUAGAUGUUUAGAUUUGUAUGAUUGUUGUGACUGAUUGAAAAUGCAAUGAAUGGCAUGUUGUGAACGGUGAUUGUACACCUUUUGCAACAUGUCUUCAUUUAUGAACAGCAGAAAAUAUUGUUUCCUUGUCUGACAAAAAUCCAAAAAUUCAGCAAAAAAAUUCCACAAAUUUCUGAAAAUUUGCAAAAAUUCAGGAAGAAAAUUCCAAUAAUUCCUUAAAAGUUUCCCUUAAAAGUCCUAUUUAAAAAAAAAAAAAAAAGCCCCCAAAUUUGGCAAGAAAAUUCUUGUAAAUAUUUUCAAAAAAUGAAUAAAAAUCUUCAAAAAAAAAAAACCCUAAAAAUAUCUAAAAUGAUUCCAUAUAUAUCAGUAAAACUUCUAAUAUAUUCUUUAAGAACAUUCACAUAAAAAUCAACCAAAAUGCAGCGACAUUCACUGGAUUUUGGUUGAUUUUUGUGUGAAUGUUCUUAAGAAACAUUUAAAAAAAAAAUUUUUUCCACCAAAAAAUGUUCAAAGAUUUCAUAAAAAUGUUGAAAAUGUGGACAUCAGAAGUUUCACUGUGAAAAUAUAGAUAUUUUCCACAUUUUCAAACUUUAAAACGGGUCAGUUUUGACCCGCAGGACGACACGAGUGUUAAUAAAUGAUUGUUUCCAUAAUAAAUAAGUAUGGAAUUUGUAAAGACAUGAUCAUAAUGAACAUAAAAACAUUAUAUUUUUUAACUUUUAAUAAAAAUGUAUGCAGAUAUAUCCCAUGGACUUCAAAAGUCCCUCAGUUAUAGACUGACCCAGAUGAUCCUGAUCCUAUCCAACUCUCAUUGCAUUUGUCUGGUUUGUUUCACUUUAUAUCAUUCUGAAGCUGCACAAUUUUAUACAGUCAUCAUCUGCUGAACUUGCACUUUCCAGUUUUACACAUCUACAAGGUUUAACUUACAAUCUACACAGUACAUCCUAUUUAAAUCUUAAAAACAUUCUUGUCUUUGGUGUCAUCUGUGCAGCAUAAGAAACACUAAAUGUGUGUCGUGCAACAUGCGUGCACGUGUACGUCUCCUCUUCCAUGCAUGACUCACUGAGGUCAGUGUCUGAGUGGUUAGAGUCUAAGAGCCUGCGGAUGGAAAAUACUGUGUGUGUGUGUGAAAACUGUCUGAUUAUUUCAACCACAAGGCAGAUACGAGGCCGCAGGCACUGCAUGAAAAACAUAAUCUCAGACAAGUCGGUAUUUUAGCUGCCUGUGGCGGUGCACGGGCAAAAAGAAAAAAAGAAAAACGCUGAGUCCUCCAUCGGUUUAGACUUACAUGGCCCCAUUAGUGUGAAUGUUAUCAUGUGCAAAAUGCGUUAACACAUCCGUACCCACUCUGCUCUGGUGCAAUACCCAGAUGAGUGAAACCCCUCAGGGCCAAACAAAACCACAACCCAUCAUAACACCUGCACCAAGCAGCGUGCAAGCCAGCUACGCCAGUAAACACCUGUUACAUUCUUCAAGUAUCUGCAAUUGCUGGAGUAAUGCUCAAUUUCAAGGUUAUCUGCAGCACUUCCAUCUGUGCUGAGCGCUUUAAAAUGCAUGGUUUAAUCUUUAUGAAGGCAGCAGAAUAAAAUAUACAACUAUGUUGCCAAUACAAUAUGAAUUAAUACAAAAAUAAUUCUCAUAUUUCUUAAUCUAGCUGCAAUUAUUCUACAAAAAAAAUCAUGAAAUUCCUGAGGAUAUUUUAAGUGCAAAGAGGCGACUUAAACAUCCACAAAAUUUGAUGCAACUACAACACCAGAAAGCCUUAAAGUCAGAUCACAAAAUUUAAAAGAAAGACCCUAAAAUCAAAUCACAAAAAAGCCUAAAAACUAAACCAUUGCAACUUUGACACAUCAAAGUCAAACUAAAGCCUAAAAUUUCUAAUCAAUUUUAAAAGAGAAUGAGGGAAAAAAAACAGUGAAAAUAGAGCUUAAAAUGAAAUCACAAAUAAUUUGGGAAUAAAGGCGAAAAAAAGAUUUUUAAAAAGCCUGAAAUCAAAUCAGAAAAUUUCGGAAAAAAGAAAAAAAAUGUAAAAAUGUAUAAAAUACAAUCAGCAAAUUUAAUAAAAGAGAGGGAAAAGGAGCCUAAAAUAAAACCACAAAAAUUGAAAAAAGACAGAAAAAAAGAAAAAAAAAGCCUGAAAUCAAAUCACUUUUUUCGAAUGUGGGAAAAAGAGCCUAAUAUUAAAUCACAAAAAUUGGAAAAAGAAAAAGGAUAAAAGCCUAAAAUAAAAUCACAAAAUUUAAUAAAAGAUAGAGUUAAAAGGAGCCUAAAAUAAAACCACAAAAAUUGAAAAAAGACAGAAAAAAAAGAAUAAAAAGCCUAAAAAUCAUGUUGCUUUUUUUUUUUGGAAUGAGGGAAAAAGAGCCUAAAAUAAAAUCACAAAAUUUAAUAAAAUAUAGAGGGAAAAGGAGCCUAAAAUCAAACCACAAAAAUAGAAAAAAAGACAGAAAAAAGAGGGAAAAAAGCCUUAAAACUAAAUCACAAAAUCCCUGAAGAUACUUUUAGCAGAAAUAGACUUCAAACAUACACAGAUCCAAUGCAGCUAUAACACCAGGAAGCCAAACUACUCCUAGAAGCAUCAGAUCCACAUGGAGGUACCUGAACGUUUCUCUAACUCGGCUAGAAGCCACUCAGUGCUCCUCACCUGAGAAUAUGCGCAUCGGAGCAGAAAGCAGACAAUGGAAAGUUUCCCUUUGCCACCGAGGACAGUAGGCAUGGUUCCUGCUGCUCACAGCGCUCCUCCGGUGUCCAUGCCAGGGAGGACACGCGUCAGUGGAUGCGCCGUGACGCUGGCAUCGGUCCGUGGAUCCUCCGCCGUGGAUCCUCCUCAGAGUGUGUGUCACCGAGGCGUACGGAGGGAGAUGUAGGCGGGCCGGGCACGUCACGGAUGACACGCACAGCUCACGCAGGGAGAUCACGACUCCGCCGGGCCCCGUGGAUGUGGAACCAUGGUGCUGCUGCUGCUGCUGCUGCUGCUGUGAGUUUGAAAUGCGUUAAUUCCGACGUGUUGGUCGCAAAGAGCUGCUAAAAAUAGAGAUGUGAUCAGUUUUAUGAUCCAGUCCAGCAGGGGGACGAUGAGGGACCCGAAACUGCAUUCACGGAUCUUUGGUCACUGAGGGCAGAAAGCUGGAAGCACAACAUGUGACACAGGGGCAAUAUAUAAUUCAGGGACUUUUGUAGUCCAUAGGAUACGUCUUACAUGCAUUUUUAUUAGAAAUAUUUUUAAAAAAAAGUUUUUUAUGUUCAUUAUGUAUGGAAUCACAGGAGUGCCAUAAUAAAAGAUAAAUCUGUUAAAAAAGUAAGGAAAUAAAAAUAAAUCUUAAAAAUAUAAGGAAGAAGAAUAAAAGAAUAAAUCUUAAAAAAAUAAGGAAAUAAAUGUGUAAAUAUAAAGAGGAAUAAAUAAAAAUAAAUAAAUCUAAAAAUAUAAGGAAGAAGAAUAAAUUACAGAAUAAAUCUGUUAAAAAAAUAAGGAAAUAAAAGUGUAACUAUAACGAGGAAUAAAUACAAAUAUAUAAAUCUGCUAAAAAUAUAAGGGAGAAGAAUAAAUAAAAAAUAAAUCUGUUAAAAAAUUAAGGAAAUAAAUGUGUAAAUAUAAAGAGUAAUAAAUAAAAAUAAAUAAAUCUAAAAAUAUAAGGAAGAAGAAUAAAUAGAAGAAUAAAUCUGUUAAAAAAUAAGGAAAUAAAUGUGUAAAUAUAAAGAAGAAUAAAUACAAAUAUAUAAAUCUGCUCAAAAUAUAAGGAAGAAGAAUAAAUAAAAAAUAAAUCUGUUAAAAAAAUAACGAAAUAAAUGUGUAAAUAUAAAGAGGAAUAAAUAAAAAUAAAUAAAUCUGCUAAAAAUAUAAGGAAGAAGAAUAAAUAAAAGAAUAAAUCGGUUAAAAAAUAAGGAAAGAAAUGUGUAAAUAUAAAGAGGAAUAAAUAAAAAUAAAUAAAUCUGCUAAAAAAUAAGGAAGAAGAAUAAAUAAGAGAUUAAAUCUGUUUAAAAAAUAAGGAAAUAAAUGUGUAAAUAUGAAGAGGAAUUAAAAAACUAAUAAAAAAAUAAAUAUGUCUUAUUUCCCAGGAAACUUCCACAAAUCGAGUAUUCUUGAAUCCAGAGUCACUCUGUUUACUUUUAUGCGAUUUUACAGCAAAUCACAACAUCAAACUUUAGCUGCAAAGGUGAAUUCAAAAUAGGGUUUUUAUUUCACCCAAAAACUGACCAAGUUAAAACCACCAAUACUAAAUUUGGGCCCAUAAAAGAGGUCGAAAUGAAAACACUGAACAAUAGGAAGUAUAUAUACUAGCUGAUCAGAUCAGUUACACACAACGGGGAAACAUAAAACACCAACACCUAAACUAACAACAAAAAGCACAAAGCAGCACAGUCAGUCUAUUUAAUCAAAAGAAUAAUAAUGAACAAACCCAGAAUAUAUCCAAUUACCCAUCAGAAUUCAAAUUAAUGAAGUAAUAUUAUAAUCAAAUGAACCCAGUCCACCCCUUGAAGUGGCAGGUACUUGGUUUGGUCUGAGGGGCAGAUCUGGUAUAAAGGCCUGGAGCUCCCAUAGUGCAGGCUUUUGCCUGAAGCCAGUUAGAUGACCCCAGCAGCAGAACACCAGCACUGGUAAGACAAAGAAACCAUUAGUACAACUUAAAACAAUGCUGAACAUACAAAAGUUAACUAAAUGUGCACUACAAAUAGCCCUUAAGUACUUCAAACAAAGGCUAAAUCACUCACAGCGGCUCGGCACUCUCUUAUGAAGUGCUUGGAGAUGAUGGAACACAUCCAGAGAAGCUUCUCUGUAGAUCUAGACAGACAUCAGUUCAGGUACCGGACAAAAAGAACGCUGUUGCACUUCAUACAGCCCUAACUCACCUGGAGCAGCCGGAUACCUACGUUAGGAUGCAACACUGUGUCUUCAACACUGUAAUCCCCCAUAAACUGAUCCACAAACUCACCAACCUUGGACUCUCCACCACACUUUGCUCAUGGAUUAUGGACUUUCUGACCAACGGGCCUCAGAAUGUCAGGAUGGGGAACCUGACAUCCAGCACCAUAACCAUGAACACCACAGGGAUGUGUUCUUAGUCCGGCACUCUUCACCCUCUUCACCAUGGACUGUGUCCCACCCACUCCUCCAACACCCUGACAAAGUUUGCCAACGAUACUACGAUGGUAGACCUUAUCAGGGACGACAACGAGACCUGGUCCAGGCAGGAGGUCCAGCAUCUGGUAGGGUGGUGUGCAGACAACGACCUGGUUCUCAACACCACCAAGACAAAGGAAGUCAUCAUAGACUUCAGGAGGACCAGGAGAGCCGUACAGUCCCCACUCCAUAUCAGAGGAGAAGAGAUAGAGAGGGUGGACUCCAAGGAUCUGACAUGGACACUAAACACCUCCAAACUGGUGGAAAAAAAGCCCAGCAGAGGAUGUUCUUCCUGAGGAAGUUGAAGCAGGCUGGUCUGGACCAUAAACAUGUUAAUGUGCAAUAAUCAUCUCAACCUAAGCAUUUUUUUUAAAAACUUCAGACACUUGAAAGCAGAUAUUGCACCUCAUUGCAUUGUUACCACUGUUAUCAUUAGUGUGUUUGUGUUUUUGUAUGUGUGAUAUUAGUGCUAAGAAUUCUAACUAGAGUGGUAACUGGGGUUUACCAGCAUUCAUGAUUGAUGAUGGCUGCUAGUGUGGUCAUCACAAGACAUCAUAAAGAUCUCACAUUCAAGGAAUUAAAAAUGACCACAAUAUACUGAAUGGCUAGCAUCAUCAGAAAUCUUGUUUUUGACCACACAAUGCAUAAAUUCAACAUUCACAUUCUUUUUUAUCUUUGUUUUUGUCUCCAGUAGUUCCUCUAUAGCUGCUAAAUGCACCACAGCCUAAACCAGCUAACUGGUCAGGUGGUGCACAUCACAUUUUUAAGGCUUUUUGAUGAAAACAACUUCCAGACUGAAAGUGAUGUGCUGUGAUUAGAGAAAACAUCAUUAGAGCUGCUUUAAACAGACGGCAGCUUUUACUGAGAUGCAUGAUGGGAACUGCCUCUUCAGAGAAUCAUUACUUUUUCUUACAACCUUCUGAGUGGCAUAAAACACCACUAAUAUUUGUCCUGCAAGUUGGCCACACUUUAAUCAGCAAGUACAAUAUGAUAUUGGCGACAAAAAAUUCUUUUAUGCAAAUAUUGGUAAACAGGGUUGCAUCAGUCUUUUUUUUCCAGACUUUUCAAAUGUCAUACACUCAAAGGGGCCUUUCUCACAUUUACUUAUGAUACCUGAAGUAAAUAAAUGGAUAUGCAACACUUUCA